This is a long non-coding RNA of Humulus lupulus (European hop), 1160 nucleotides long. RefSeq lists it as uncharacterized. The record is from RefSeq and is a predicted model, not a curated record. The transcript is spliced from 5 exons. Lineage: Eukaryota; Viridiplantae; Streptophyta; Magnoliopsida; Rosales; Cannabaceae.
AGGUUGUAUAAUAUUCAUUAAGCAUUGAUUAAUUACAUUUCAUUGAAGUGCAAUAGUAGUAUAGUAUAUUGAACUAUAAUUACCAGAAGAAAUUAAACAAAAUCGAACUAAAAUACAUUUCAUUCCAAUACAUAGUUUUUAAAUCUUAUUAUAUUGAUUCUAAUGUUCAAGCUCACUUAAGGUUCUUGUGAACUAAGAUGCCCGAGACAUUUUCAAUGUGUACAUUUACAUAAUGCUUCAUUUGUUGGAAGCUUUACACAAAUUUGGCUCACUAACAACUAGAGUUGAUGCACUUAUUGCAGGGUAGGUCCGGAUGCUUGGUCUCUGAUGUAUCCUUCAAUACUUGCUAAGCUACAGAGCCUGUACAAUGAUGGCUAUAAACUGGUUAUUUUCUUUCCAUAUAAUCUAUCUCAAAUGUUAUCUUUACCAAUGAAUCAAACAUUGAGCGCUGGAAAAAUAAGAGACAAGUUGCUGUGGACUCAAAAAUUGGUCGCCUAAACAAAUUAAUGAGACAAUGAAAGUCCCAAUUCAGUUAUUGCAUGGGAAGAAAAGUAAAGCACGAGGUCCCUGAAGAUUGAGUCUGUGAAUCUGGGAAGAGAGAUGAAGCUGUCACAAUAGCAAUGAGCAUGGGGCAAUUGUCAAUUUCACAGCUUCAUUCCAAAAAGAAAAAGCCCAUAGAAACUGGUAAAGUUAAGUUCAUUCCUCAUGAAGAAAUCCUUAAGCUAUCUUCAGAGACCUUCAACGAGUCAAGAGAAACAACUCGAACAAAAUGACAACAUGUAUCUAGCAAAGUUGGAAUUUCAAAUAAAAAGAUAGAGAAGAAACUAGUCAAAGAACCAUGCACAUUGUUGCCAUCAUCACUUGAUGUUAGUGCAGGUGGUAAAACUAAGGAUGUUCAAGGAGACCUGCCAAAUUUCCCACUUAGUUUUACCUUGUAUAUCACAUAUUUUCUGAGGCUGUCUUUGUUGUUCUCUGUUUGUAGUUUUAUGUCUUAUAUGUACUAUCUUAGUCUGAGGCUGUCUAGACUGUAAUACAGUACAGGUGAUUUCUUAUCAUCUUUUUUUAAUACAAUCUUGUUUGGUUGGGAUUGAAAUGAUAGUGUUUAUGUGAGAAUAGAAAUAGAAUGGGAAAGAAAUAUCAAUUCUUUUGUUUGGUUGAAA